GCUCAGUAACACGUCAAUAAUCUGCCCUAUGGUCCGAGAUAACCUUGGGAAACUGAGAGUAAAACCGGAUAGAUACUGAAUACUGGAAUGUGUUGGUAUUGAAAUGUAAAGCCAUAGGAUGAGUUGGCGGCUGAUUAGGUAGUUGGCGGUGUAAAGGACCACCAAGCCUACAAUCAGUACGGGCCGUGAGAGCGGGAGCCCGGAGAGGGGGACUGAGAUACUGCCCCCAGCCCUACGGGGUGCAGCAGGCGCGAAAACUUUACACUGUACGCAAGUGCGAUAAGGGAACUCCCAGUGCUCAUGUUUUACAUGGGCUUUUGCCAAGUGUAAAUAGCUUGGCGAAUAAGUGGUGGGUAAGACGGGUGCCAGCCGCCGCGGUAACACCUGCGCCACAAGUGGGACUCAUUAUUAUUGGGCCUAAAGCGUUCGUAGCCGGAUAUGCAAGUCUUGGGUGAAAUCGAUGCGCUUAACAAAUCGACGUGCCUGAGAUACUACGCAUCUUGAGAUCGGGAGGGGUUAGGGGUAUUCUGGAGGGAGCGGUAAAAUGUUAUAAUCUCCAGAGGACCACCUGUGGCGAAGGCGUCUAACCAGAACGAGUCUGACGGUGAGGAACGAAAGCUAGGGGAGCAAUCCGGAUUAGAUACCCGAGUAGUCCUAGCUGUAAACGCUGUGAGCUAGGUGUGUCGGUUUCUUAGGGAAACCGACGUGUCGGAGUGAAGAUGUUAAGCUCACCGCCUGGGAAGUACGGUCG
Molecule: ribosomal RNA, 751 nt
Filed under: uncultured archaeon
Lineage: Archaea
Description: bacterial SSU rRNA
Rfam family: Archaeal small subunit ribosomal RNA
Source: RNAcentral